This 90-nucleotide transfer RNA is filed under the name Gammaproteobacteria bacterium. RNAcentral's name for it is "tRNA-Ser". It matches the Rfam family "tRNA". Rfam says of the family: Transfer RNA (tRNA) molecules are approximately 80 nucleotides in length. Their secondary structure includes four short double-helical elements and three loops (D, anti-codon, and T loops). The record is from RNAcentral. Lineage: Bacteria; Pseudomonadati; Pseudomonadota; Gammaproteobacteria.
GGAGAGGUGGCUGAGCGGUUGAAAGCGCACGAUUCGAAAUCGUGUUUGGGCUUAUCCCCAACGAGGGUUCGAAUCCCUCCCUCUCCGCCA